Cupriavidus metallidurans CH34 is the source of this 2879-nucleotide ribosomal RNA. It matches the Rfam family "Bacterial large subunit ribosomal RNA". The record is from Rfam. NCBI's taxonomy places the organism in Bacteria, Pseudomonadati, Pseudomonadota, Betaproteobacteria, Burkholderiales, Burkholderiaceae.
GGUCAAGCGAACAAGUGCAUGUGGUGGAUGCCUUGGCGAUUACAGGCGAUGAAGGACGCGGUAGCCUGCGAAAAGCUUCGGGGAGCUGGCAAACGAGCUUUGAUCCGGAGAUGUCCGAAUGGGGAAACCCGGCCCGAAUGGGUCAUCCCUGACUGAAUACAUAGGUCAGGGAAGCGAACGCGGCGAACUGAAACAUCUAAGUAGCUGCAGGAACAGAAAUCAACCGAGAUUCCCAAAGUAGUGGCGAACGAAAUGGGAAGAGCCUUGUACUCUUUAGCAGCAUUGUUAGCAGAACGGGAUGGAAAGCCCGGCCAUAGCAGGUGAUAGCCCUGUAUGCGAAAACAGCGUUGUGGAACUAGGUGUACGACAAGUAGGGCGGGACACGUGAAAUCCUGUCUGAAGAUGGGGGGACCAUCCUCCAAGGCUAAAUACUCGUAAUCGACCGAUAGUGAACCAGUACCGUGAGGGAAAGGCGAAAAGAACCCCGGGAGGGGAGUGAAAUAGAUCCUGAAACCGCAUGCAUACAAACAGUCGGAGCCUGGAAACGGGUGACGGCGUACCUUUUGUAUAAUGGGUCAGCGACUUACAUUCAGUGGCAAGCUUAACCGAUUAGGGAAGGCGUAGCGAAAGCGAGUCCGAAUAGGGCGUUGAGUCGCUGGGUGUAGACCCGAAACCAGAUGAUCUAUCCAUGGCCAGGUUGAAGGUGCGGUAACACGUACUGGAGGACCGAACCCACUAACGUUGAAAAGUUAGGGGAUGAGCUGUGGAUAGGGGUGAAAGGCUAAACAAAUCUGGAAAUAGCUGGUUCUCUCCGAAAACUAUUUAGGUAGUGCCUCGUGUCUCACCUUCGGGGGUAGAGCACUGUCAUGGUUGGGGGGUCUAUUGCUGAUUACCCCGCCAUAGCAAACUCCGAAUACCGAAGAGUGCAAUCACGGGAGACAGACAUCGGGUGCUAACGUCCGGUGUCAAGAGGGAAACAACCCAGACCGCCAGCUAAGGUCCCAAAGAUUGGCUAAGUGGGAAACGAAGUGGGAAGGCUAAAACAGUCAGGAGGUUGGCUUAGAAGCAGCCACCCUUUAAAGAAAGCGUAAUAGCUCACUGAUCGAGUCGUCCUGCGCGGAAGAUGUAACGGGGCUAAGCCAGUCACCGAAGCUGCGGACGCACGCAAGUGCGUGGUAGGAGAGCGUUCUGUAAGCCUGUGAAGGUGUCUUGUAAAGGAUGCUGGAGGUAUCAGAAGUGCGAAUGCUGACAUGAGUAGCGAUAAAGGGGGUGAAAGGCCCCCUCGCCGUAAGCCCAAGGUUUCCUACGCAACGUUCAUCGGCGUAGGGUGAGUCGGCCCCUAAGGCGAGGCAGAGAUGCGUAGCUGAUGGGAAGCAGGUUAAUAUUCCUGCACCGUCGUAUGAUGCGAUGGGGGGACGGAUCGCGGAAGGUUGUCCGGGUGUUGGAAGUCCCGGUCCCUGCAUUGGAGAAGGCGCUUAGGCAAAUCCGGGCGCGGAAUUCAAGGAUGUGGGGCGAGCGGCCUAGUGCUGCGAAGCAAUUGGAAGUGGUUCCAAGAAAAGCCUCUAAGCUUCAGUCAUACGAGACCGUACCGCAAACCGACACAGGUGGGCGAGAUGAGUAUUCUAAGGCGCUUGAGAGAACUCGGGAGAAGGAACUCGGCAAAUUGGUACCGUAACUUCGGGAUAAGGUACGCCCUUGUAGCUUGACUGGCCUGCGCCAGGAGGGUGAAGGGGUUGCAAUAAAAUGGUGGCUGCGACUGUUUAAUAAAAACACAGCACUCUGCAAACACGAAAGUGGACGUAUAGGGUGUGACGCCUGCCCGGUGCCGGAAGAUUAAAUGAUGGGGUGCAAGCUCUUGAUUGAAGUCCCGGUAAACGGCGGCCGUAACUAUAACGGUCCUAAGGUAGCGAAAUUCCUUGUCGGGUAAGUUCCGACCUGCACGAAUGGCGUAACGAUGGCCACACUGUCUCCUCCCGAGACUCAGCGAAGUUGAAGUGUUUGUGAUGAUGCAAUCUCCCCGCGGCUAGACGGAAAGACCCCAUGAACCUUUACUGUAGCUUUGCAUUGGACUUUGAACCGAUCUGUGUAGGAUAGGUGGGAGGCUUUGAAGCGUGGACGCUAGUUCACGUGGAGCCGUCCUUGAAAUACCACCCUGGUUUGUUUGAGGUUCUAACCUUGGCCCGUGAAUCCGGGUCGGGGACAGUGCAUGGUAGGCAGUUUGACUGGGGCGGUCUCCUCCCAAAGUGUAACGGAGGAGUUCGAAGGUACGCUUGGUACGGUCGGACAUCGUACCUAAAGUGCAAUGGCAAAAGCGUGCUUAACUGCGAGACCGACAAGUCGAGCAGGUGCGAAAGCAGGACAUAGUGAUCCGGUGGUUCUGAAUGGAAGGGCCAUCGCUCAACGGAUAAAAGGUACUCUGGGGAUAACAGGCUGAUACCGCCCAAGAGUUCAUAUCGACGGCGGUGUUUGGCACCUCGAUGUCGGCUCAUCUCAUCCUGGGGCUGUAGCCGGUCCCAAGGGUAUGGCUGUUCGCCAUUUAAAGAGGUACGUGAGCUGGGUUUAAAACGUCGUGAGACAGUUUGGUCCCUAUCUGCCGUGGGCGUUGGAAUCUUGACGGGGGCUGCUCCUAGUACGAGAGGACCGGAGUGGACGUACCGCUGGUGUACCUGUUGUCUCGCCAGAGGCAUCGCAGGGUAGCUAUGUACGGAAGAGAUAACCGCUGAAAGCAUCUAAGCGGGAAACUCGCCUGAAGAUGAGGAUUCCCUGGAGGCUUGACCUCCUUGAAGGGUCGUUCGAGACCAGGACGUUGAUAGGCUGGGUGUGGAAGCGCAGUAAUGCGUUAAGCUAACCAGUACUAAUUGCCCGUAAGGCUUGAUCCU